RNAcentral lists this ribosomal RNA (328 nucleotides) under uncultured eukaryote. Its description in RNAcentral is "partial 18S ribosomal RNA". It matches the Rfam family "Eukaryotic small subunit ribosomal RNA", at positions 1470 to 1796 of the family's 1831-position model. The record is from RNAcentral.
CCCUUAGAUGUUCUGGGCUGCACGCGCGCUACACUGAUGCGCUCAACGAGUUUUAACCUUGCCUGGAAAGGUUGGGUAAUCUUUUUAAAACGCAUCGUGAUGGGGAUAGAUUAUUGCAAUUAUUAAUCUUCAACGAGGAAUUCCUAGUAAGCGCGAGUCAUCAGCUCGUGCUGAUUACGUCCCUGCCCUUUGUACACACCGCCCGUCGCUCCUACCGAUUGAGUGGUCCGGUGAAAUCUUCGGAUUGAGACUUUGAUUUCUUCACGGAAAACGCUGUUUUAAGAAGUUGAUUAAACCUUACCAUUUAGAGGAAGGUGAAGCCGUAACA